RNAcentral lists this ribosomal RNA (253 nucleotides) under uncultured bacterium. Its description in RNAcentral is "partial 16S ribosomal RNA". It matches the Rfam family "Bacterial small subunit ribosomal RNA", at positions 524 to 776 of the family's 1533-position model. The record is from RNAcentral.
UACGGUGGGUGCAAGCGUUAAUCGGAAUUACUGGGCGUAAAGCGCACGCAGGCGGUUAAUUAAGUUAGAUGUGAAAUCCCCGGGCUCAACCCGGGAACUGCAUUCGAAACCGGCAGGCUAGAGUCUUGUAGAGGGGGGUAGAAUUCCAGGUGUAGCGGUGAAAUGCGUAGAGAUCUGGAGGAAUACCGGUGGCGAAGGCGGCCCCCUGGACAAAGACUGACGCUCAGGUGCGAAAGCGUGGGGAGCAAACAGG